RNAcentral lists this ribosomal RNA (261 nucleotides) under uncultured archaeon. Its description in RNAcentral is "partial 16S ribosomal RNA". It matches the Rfam family "Archaeal small subunit ribosomal RNA", at positions 748 to 1009 of the family's 1478-position model. The record is from RNAcentral.
AGGGUGUAAACGCUGCGGGCUUGGUGUUGGGGGUCCUUUGAGGGCGCCCAGUGCCGGAGAGAAGUUGUUAAGCCUGCUGCUUGGGGAGUACGUCCGCAAGGAUGAAACUUAAAGGAAUUGGCGGGGGAGCACCACAACGGGUGGAGCUUGCGGUUUAAUUGGAUUCAACGCCGGAAAUCUUACCGGGACCGACAGCAACAUGAAGGCCAGGCUGAAGACUUUGCCGGAUUAGCUGAGAGGAGGUGCAUGGCGUAGUCGUGU